AGUGAACGCUGGCGGCAGGCCUAACACAUGCAAGUCGAACGGCAGCACAGCAGUAGCAAUACUGUGGGUGGCGAGUGGCGGACGGGUGAGGAAUACAUCGGAAUCUGCCUAGUCGUGGGGGAUAACGUAGGGAAACUUACGCUAAUACCGCAUACGACCUACGGGUGAAAGCGGGGGAUCGCAAGACCUCGCGCGAUUAGAUGAGCCGAUGUCCGAUUAGCUAGUUGGCGGGGUAAUGGCCCACCAAGGCGACGAUCGGUAGCUGGUCUGAGAGGAUGAUCAGCCACACUGGAACUGAGACACGGUCCAGACUCCUACGGGAGGCAGCAGUGGGGGAAUAAUUGGGACAAAUGGGCGCAAGCCUGAUCCAGCCAUGCCGCGUGGGUGAAGAAGGCCUCGG
This 400-nucleotide ribosomal RNA is filed under the name uncultured bacterium. RNAcentral's name for it is "bacterial SSU rRNA". It matches the Rfam family "Bacterial small subunit ribosomal RNA", at positions 30 to 420 of the family's 1533-position model. The record is from RNAcentral.